This is a long non-coding RNA of Lagopus leucura (white-tailed ptarmigan), 1107 nucleotides long. RefSeq lists it as uncharacterized. The record is from RefSeq and is a predicted model, not a curated record. NCBI's taxonomy places the organism in Eukaryota, Metazoa, Chordata, Aves, Galliformes, Phasianidae. The transcript is spliced from 3 exons.
GGUCCUCUGCUCCUGGUGGCGGCAGAGCAACCUUUGUGCCUUUUGUUGUACCAGAUAAGAUGUUAAUUAAGAUAGUGCUCACCCGAGGGCUGAUUUUAAUAUAUAUACACUGCUAUUGGCGUAUACAUUUUGUAAUCCAUCAUUCUGGCUUCAUCUGGUUUAUCUUAGGUAUUGAUUCGGCACAAACAGAAAUUGGGGAGAAAAUGCACUAUGGCACCAGAAUCGUUUCAGCAAGAAUAAGUGGUAUAAAUGAGUGAAACGUGGUUCCUCUGUGCAGUAGGGUGUUUUGUUUCCCUGGAAGGGAAUAAUUAAACUUCAAGAAGGAAAUACCUGGGUGGAUUAACUUUUUCCUGAAUGGCAGUAUUUGUAGAGGGGCGUUGAGGAGAAACACAUCAGCAUAGCAGUGCUCCUCGCAGUGAGCUGCCAGCAGGUAUGGGAGAGAAAAGUCUUAUUCUUUUUGCCUGUAUUGUAUUGCUGGGAUUGACAUCAGCUGGAGAGCAUCUGGAAUAGAAGAGGACAGGGAUAACAGUAAUUGUGCUGCAUCUUGCAAGUGUUUUGGGAAGAAAUCCACUUUGGAAGUAGUGCUUUAAUGAAAAACUUUACCAUAAACCCUGAGAUAGGAAAAUUGAUGGAAGUGUGGCCUCAAAAAAAACAAUUUUUUUUUUUUAAAGCAUUAUACUUUUAGUUUGCCCUGAGUUAGUGUAAGAGAACUGUCAUGGCCUGAGUUGAUGAUUGAUCACCUGGUGCAGGGGGUGGCUGGCCCAGGAAGCAUGGGGGCAUGCAAUUCACCUCUGCUUCCCACCUGACUGGGGGGGGGGGACCCUUAAUGAGCUCCCUGGGCUCACAUAAAGGCUCACCCCUGGAAGGAGAAGGUCUGCUGGGUGAAGGCUGCUUCCUGAGAAGGAGCGUUCUGUUGCUGGAGGCCUGCUUGCCAGUCUGGAAAAAGAGGUUUCAGAGCAUUCAGCAUCUCCCCUGUGAGGCACCUGUAUGUGGUACCCGAGCAGCAAGGUGCCCACGUCUGUCUGGAGCUGCCCUGUGCCUGCAGCGUGCUGCCUGCACUGCCAUCACUUGGGUGAGUUUAAAGAUUGUCACUGCGAUAUCAUCACG